This 495-nucleotide ribosomal RNA is filed under the name uncultured eukaryote. Its description in RNAcentral is "bacterial SSU rRNA". It matches the Rfam family "Eukaryotic small subunit ribosomal RNA", at positions 643 to 1123 of the family's 1831-position model. The record is from RNAcentral.
GGUAGCAGUAGUUUUCUAUCAUAGUCCACCAGGAUACUCUCUUGGUGUGUACUGGGUGUUAACCUCCUUUUUUUCUGGUACUUGCUAUCCAGCAAUGGGUAGUUUUGUCCAGAUAGUUUACUUUGAAAAAAUUAGAGUGUUCAAAGCAGGCAUAAUUGGCAUCAUGAAUACAUUAGCAUGGGAUAAUAGAAUAUGACAUUGGUCUUAUUUUGUUGGUUUCUAAGGCCAAAGUAAUGAUUGAUAGGGGAUAGUUGGGGCCGCUCGUAUUGAGUUGUCAGAGGUGAAAUUCUAGGAUUUACUCAAGACGAACUAAUGCGAAAGCAUUCGGCAAGGAUGUUUUCAUUAAUCAAGAACGAAAGUUGGGGGGAUCGAAGAUGAUCAGAUACCGUCGUAGUCUCAACCAUAAACUAUGUCAACCGAGGAUCCGGUAGCGUUACAUGGAUGACCUUCCGGGCACUCUGUGAGAAAUCAUAAGUAUUUGGAUUUCGGGGGGAG